CAUUAGAUGACUGAAAAGCAAGUACUGGUCUCUUAAACCAUUUUAUAGUAAUUUAGCAACUACUUCUAAUGA
RNAcentral lists this transfer RNA (72 nucleotides) under Cucujoidea sp. 17 KM-2017. Its description in RNAcentral is "tRNA-Lys". Lineage: Eukaryota; Metazoa; Arthropoda; Insecta; Coleoptera. The record is from RNAcentral.